CUGGUCCUACGGGGGGCAGCAGUGGGGAAUAUUGCACAAUGGGCGCAAGCCUGAUGCAGCAACGCCGCGUGAGCGAAGAAGGUCUUCGGAUCGUAAAGCUCUGUCCUUGAGGAAGAAGGAAGUGACGGUACUCAAGGAGGAAGCCCCGGCUAACUACGUGCCAGCAGCCGCGGUAAUACGUAGGGGGCAAGCGUUAUCCGGAAUUAUUGGGCGUAAAGAGUACGUAGGUGGGUUUGUGAGCGCGGGGUGAAAGGCAGUGGCUUAACAAUUGUAAGCCUUGAGAACUGCACGACUUG
This 296-nucleotide ribosomal RNA is filed under the name uncultured bacterium. Its description in RNAcentral is "partial 16S ribosomal RNA". It matches the Rfam family "Bacterial small subunit ribosomal RNA", at positions 333 to 644 of the family's 1533-position model. The record is from RNAcentral.